CGCCGCUUGCUAAUGCAGCACUUCUGCUCAGCCCCAUAAGUUUUAUUAAAUUCUUGAUACGAAGAAACUUUCUGGUAUGACAAGAAGAUUAAGCAUUACUGCUCAGCCCGGGAAGAAGUUCUUUUGAUUAUGAUUUUCCGAGGGAUUGAGCUUGAUUACAUUACUUGACAUCUAUGCUUUAAUAUUUGAAUUUGUAGUUCAAAUAUCAAAUUUGUUGUUCC
RNAcentral lists this long non-coding RNA (221 nucleotides) under Salvia miltiorrhiza (redroot sage). RNAcentral describes it as "long non-coding RNA (SMIL_LNC012472)". Lineage: Eukaryota; Viridiplantae; Streptophyta; Magnoliopsida; Lamiales; Lamiaceae. The record is from RNAcentral.